Notolabrus celidotus (New Zealand spotty) is the source of this 1057-nucleotide long non-coding RNA. RefSeq lists it as uncharacterized. The transcript is spliced from 3 exons. NCBI's taxonomy places the organism in Eukaryota, Metazoa, Chordata, Actinopteri, Labriformes, Labridae. The record is from RefSeq and is a predicted model, not a curated record.
UGCGCAUUCCGGACACGACCUGGUUGAGCUCGAGCCGCCCCUGAAAGCUGUACGGAGGCAGAGGAAACGGCACAGCCUGGCGGUAGACUGUAUACUGAUGACAACACAGAAGAGAGAUAAACACGUAAACAAAGCAGUCAAGUAGUUAUAUCCAGUGGAGGAUCAGAACUUUUGCUUAAAAUGUAGGACAUGAAGCUCUCCUCAAAUACCUCUGGGAAUAUCAGCUUCACAUCAAUGCUGUCUGCUGAGGCAACAACAACUGAUGCAGAAACCUCCUCCUUCGCGUUGCUCUCAUGUUGCUCGGAGAAGCCGAGAAGGAAAGCCAUGCCUGGGAUGUAGCUUCCAAUGCUGACAAAAGAGUAAAAAGCUCCUUCAGCAACACAUGCCAGAAAGAGUCUUUGUAAACAGAGAAUUUCCACACCAUGCUUUCUAAGGCAAAGGGAUCCUGGUCCAGUGUACUUUGGCCUUGAGCGUUGGUUUGGAACCGGGAAGAUGAGCGGUAAUGCCUCUCAUUGACAUUUCAUAGGACUGACAUUCAGCGCCCCAUCUGAUGUGUGCCUUGAUCAAACAUUGGUAUUAAUCACAAACAGAAACAAUACUUGGCUCCCAGACUGGUAUGAAAUGCAUGUGUGCACAACUGCAAACACCUGAAACAGAUAGGAUGUGGGAUUUUGCGGAUGAAAUUAUGAUUUUAUAGAAUUGUAAAUAUAAAACCAUCAUAAAAUAUAUAUAAACAUAUCUAAGGUUUGGAUUGUUGAAAAAUGUUCAAUGCCCAAUCCCUUUAACAGCCUGGUUUUUUAUUUAACAUUUUAAAUUCCUUCACAUUAAAGGAUUCAGAAAAAUAUAUUUCCAGUCCACAAACACUGAACAUGUUUUUCUUCCCCAAAUGGAGGGAAAACUUUGAUCAGAACAAUUAACUAUUAAUUAAAUUAUUGUAGAAACUUGUGUUCCACCUGCUAUUGAAGCUAGGCAAGAAGAGUAUACACAUUAUACUUUGAACCCACUGAGGAUGAAAAGGUUGCUGCCUGACUGGGGGUCUAAAAACAUUAAAAAAUAU